GGGUGGGGGAAUGCAUGGGUGUGUAUGUCAGUCAGUCUUUUGGUGCUGGAGUGUGUAUGUAUGUGCCAGUGAACGUUAGUGUGUCAGUGUGUCAGAGUGCGCCCGAGUGUCAGGGAUUAUCUGUGUUGUGCCGUGUAUAUGUGUGUGUUGUGAAGUCUGUGUUGCGGGGCGUGUGUGCGUGUGCGCGCGCGCCUCCAUAUCAGCUCUUUCCCAAGACCCAGCAGAGGCGGCGCCCCUUCAGCUGUUGCCAGAAAACCGGGGAAGAAAAAUUCUUCUCAUCCUUCAAGAUUCAACUCCAAGGCCAUUUCCUCCUUGAGACCUCUUGUGAUUGUGAUUGCCCUGUGAUUCCUCUUCAAAUUUUCUGAGAGCUCUUUGGAUUUCUCCCUUGUCAUCAUCAACCAAACUUGUGUUCCAAAUGUGGAAUAUGAACUUAAAUAGAAUGCAAACAGCUUGAAGGAACUUCAAUUAAAUCUUAAGAUCAACCAACAAGCACCUAUUAAAAGUGCUCACUAUAUUUUAGGCAUGAUGCUAGAUGCUUGGGACACAAAAACAAAAAUUUAAUUGUCUCUGCUUUCAAGGAGCUUAGAUCCUGCCAGAAGAGACAGCAUAUACUUGCCUGAUUUUUCUCUCUUAGCCAAGGAGUUUCUGCAAAUCCACCCACCCCCUGAGGUAAUGCCGAAGGUUUCAAUAUUUCCAAGAUGCUGCCAGAAUCCAAGGAGGUAACUGUAAUUGCCUGCAUCAAAUCAAGAUCUUCCCUAACACUGCAAAAGCUGAAAAACAGGAAAAAUCAGUGAGUGUAGAAAAUGACACCAGCCUGGAAGAGGAGGGAAACAUGGACUGAGUGAAAAAGAAGGUGGAGGCAGUGUGCAUUUCUCUGAAAGAUACUACAAAUGGACAAUAAAUUUGGUCCAGGGAAGAGGAGAGGAGAAUAGAUGAGUUGCCUUUGGGAAAUUAUCUGGGUCUUUUAGUGAUCUUAAAUUCAACUUGGAAACGAAGAUCUUCUCAACUAAGCUCAAUGUGGGGAUAAAUAUGUGUGAGACAAGGAAUACUGUGGUCUCUGAAGAAAUGUCGUUGAGGACUCUUCAGAGAACAAUAGAGGCUCAUGGCAGGUCCAAACAGGCUGCAACACAUGGCAAAUGAGCAAGUAUAAGGAAAAGGAAUGUGAAGAAUAUGAACAAAAAUGUAUUAUGAAAAAGAUGAAUCUAUUACUUACCACUUCUGAGAGUAACUAAUGUGUACCUGUGUACCUCAUUGGUGUCAUCAUAGAUGAAUGCCACGAGAACUUGAAGGCUCCUGGCAUAAUGAGUCGAUGACCUCCUUGUGAUGAACUUAGUGGAGAAUGAAAGUUAGGGGAUGGGCAGAUGUAGAUAGGUUUUGAUCUGCACUGUAAAAAGGAAUGCCCUCAGUGAUGAGAUCACAAAUCUAUUGGAAUGAAUUUUCAAUCCAUCUCUUAUUGCAUGAAAAUCUAUGUUAAAGGAUGUUGCAAACUCACUUUGAGGAGGUAAUAAUAACUAAGCCCAUCAUCAUCAUGCAAGAGCCUAUGUUCUCCACUUAGGUAUUUCCAGUAAAAAAUGUUGGAGCUUGAAUUGAGGAAAGAACAGGGAUCCUGAUGCUUAGGAAUUCAAGGUUGUAACCUGCCAAGCAAUUUUUCUUUGCAUUAGGGAGAUCCAUUUCUUAGGGAAAUAAAAUAGGCAAUAAUAAUAAUAAUAAUAGACAGCAUUUAUAUGGUAUUUUAAGGUUUUCAUAGUACUUUACAGAUAGUAUCUCAUUUAAUCCUCAUAACUUGGGAGGUAUAUAUUAUUAUUAUCUCCAUUUUGAAGAAGAAACUGAGACAAACAGAGGUUAUAUAAUGUGCUUAGGGUCACAGUUAUGAAGUGUCUAAGGUAGUAUUUGAAUUCAGAUCUUCUUGACUCUGUGUCCAGAGCUUUAACCAUUUUGCCAUCUAUCUUCCUAGGGUACAGGCUAAACAAGAAGGUCAUGGUAACUACCAGGUACAAUCAAGGUUAAAUUGAGAAAACCUGAUUAGUGCCCCAUCUCCACCUCUGUGGGCAUGACAGAAUGCAAGGUUAAGGUCAGGGUCUUCCAUGCCACUCUUUUGGCUUAAGCUAUGGGCAUUCAUAUAAGGAAAGAUUUGUACCAAGUUAAAAAAAAGAAACAGUUUUGGAGCAGAUAUCUCAGAAGCAGCAGUCUCAGAAGAAUGUACAUUUUAAGUGAUACAAAAGGCAAUUGAAUGAUUGCACAUUACUAUUUUGACCAUUAGGUGGCAUUGAUAACCACUAUCGUGAUCCUGUACCAAAGGUAGCUCUGGUGUUAUGAAUCCUACACUCAUCCUGCUGAACAUUGUACUUCUACGUUGAGGUGCAGAAAUAUCCAGGAGGUUCCUCUCUUUCGUUUUCAGAAAGUAGGUAAUGUUUCCUUUGGAUUUUCAUAGUGGUGUGCUGGUAAAUAUUGAACAACCAACUCUCUUUAAAAAAGUACAAAUUAUACACAUUUGAGUUUAAUCUGAAUUACUAUUUUCUCCAUCUCUUUCUUAAUUAUAGACAAUCAACUAAACAAUUAAUCAAGUCCUUUCUUGUAGUCUUGUUAAUUUUCAAUGUAUCAAUGCUUCCAAUGAAUAUUUAUUUAAUAACUGACCCACCUGAGCUGGUUUCAGCUGACUCUAGCACUAUCCUGGAUUUGUAUUUACUUCUAUAUCUGGGGGGAUAUCUAUAACCCAUGACUCAUUUUCUAGGUACUUUGAAGUAUUGUGGGUGUGCAUAAUCUGAUAAACCCCAUCUUUUAUCUGGCCUUGGUAUAUUCCAUGGUACCCUAACCAUAUAACUUUGGCAUUAUAAUGACCUCUGUGGAAAAAAAAGAGGGGGCAGAGCUAAGAUGGUGGCUUAGUAGCAGUGAAAGCUGAAACUGCUUUGACAAUCCUUCCAAAUCAAUCUUUAAGAAGUGCCUCAAGACAACAGGAGUCAAAAACCAAUAGCAAGACAGAAUGAGGGGGCUUUCCUAUUGAACACAACUUGAAAGGUAGGAAGAAAGGGUCAAUUUUCACAGGAUAAGGGGAAAUCAAAAACAAAACUGCACACAGAGAAGUGCUAGUCAAUUACCCCCAGUAUCUUUUCACCAAAUUAAGCUUAAAGAACUUAAGACUCUGCUCCACAGCAAGGGAUACUCACUUGUAAGAAAAUAGAAGCUCCUUUGGUUGGUAUGUCUUCUUUUAGAAGAUCUAAUAUCUUUUCCUGAGCUUGUAAAUUGCACAUAGAGGCACCAUCAAGGACAUGUAAAAUGAGAAAAGAUAAUGAGAAUUCCAUAAAGAUGUAUUGGUACCCAUGAAAGAGAAAAAGAAACACAAGAGUCCCAAAGUAUAUGGUAUAAAUUCUGUAUAUAAGAUUUAUAGAAAAGCAUGGAGAAUGUGAAGACAGAGGGAUUGCCAUAUUGUAUUAAUAGAAGUAUCCACUAUGAUGAGAUUAAAGAGACCUCAAUGUAUCAAAGAAUUGUAUAUAUAUGAGGUAACUAAGAAGAUGUGGGAUCAUAUGAUUAAUAAAGAAAGUCAGGAGCCAGAAAUCCUGGUUUUCAAUAUCGUAUCUCUUUCCCCACCCUAAUUCCAUGGAUUGUUUGGGUCUUAUCACCAAUCUUUGAUGUAUUUUCACAAAAUGGCUAAUGCAAUUCCAUUUCAUAUAUUAAAACUAUCACAUGUGACUAAGAUCAAUGAAAA
Monodelphis domestica (gray short-tailed opossum) is the source of this 3703-nucleotide non-coding RNA. Lineage: Eukaryota; Metazoa; Chordata; Mammalia; Didelphimorphia; Didelphidae. The record is from RefSeq and is a predicted model, not a curated record.